Molecule: transfer RNA, 67 nt
Filed under: Marmota monax (woodchuck)
Lineage: Eukaryota; Metazoa; Chordata; Mammalia; Rodentia; Sciuridae
Description: tRNA.Ala
Source: RNAcentral
GGUCGUAGCUCAGUGGUAGAGCACUUGCCUCGCACAUGUGAAGUACUAGGUUUGAUUCUUAGCAUCA